GCGAGUGAAGCGGCAAAAGCUCAAAUUUGAAAUCUGGCGUCUUUGGCGUCCGAGUUGUAAUUUGAAGAUGGCAACUUUGGGUCUGGUGCUUGUCUAAGUUCCUUGGAACAGGACGUCAUAGAGGGUGAGAAUCCCGUAUGAUGAGAGAGCCAGAUCUUUGUAAAGUGCCUUCGAAGAGUCGAGUUGUUUGGGAAUGCAGCUCUAAGUGGGUGGUAAAUUCCAUCUAAAGCUAAAUAUUGGCGAGAGACCGAUAGCGAACAAGUACAGUGAUGGAAAGAUGAAAAGAACUUUGAAAAGAGAGUGAAAAAGUACGUGAAAUUGUUGAAAGGGAAGGGUUUGAGAUCAGACAUGGUAUUUUGUACACCUUCUCUCUCGGGAGGGGGCCUCUGCAGUUUACUGGGCCAGCAUCAGUUUGGACGGUAGGAUAAUGAUUAAGGAAUGUGGCUCUUCUUCGGGAGAGUGUUAUAGCCUUGGUUGAUACUGCCUGUCUAGACUGAGGACCGCGUCUUUGACUAGGAUGUUGGCAUAAUGAUCUUAAGCCACCC
RNAcentral lists this ribosomal RNA (545 nucleotides) under Millerozyma koratensis. Its description in RNAcentral is "eukaryotic LSU rRNA". It matches the Rfam family "Eukaryotic large subunit ribosomal RNA", at positions 89 to 650 of the family's 3401-position model. Lineage: Eukaryota; Fungi; Ascomycota; Pichiomycetes; Serinales; Debaryomycetaceae. The record is from RNAcentral.